UUUAUACACGAAUUUGGACAUGCUUACGGACCGUAAGCCUUAUCCCUUACGGUCCGUAAGGGGUACGAACCGACUAUAGGGUAGCCACGUUUGGGACUAGGUGUCACACCCCAACCGAUGGCGGAAACAUCGGGAUGAGACGCCUGCUGACUUUAUAGUUUUGUCCAAUCAGAUUUAGACAACGAGUUUCUAUUGAUAAUCAUCAACUAGGGUUUACCCCCCCCCCCUGAGUUUUAGGGGCCCUGAUCCUGAUUCUGUUUGUUAUGAAAAUUUUAGAGAUUGUGUAGAAUUAGUUGGGUGUCUCAACUAGGGUUUCCUAUUGAGUAAAUAAAAAUAGUAGAUAUGACUUUUGGUGAGAAUAGAAUAAUAAAUAAUAGUUUUGGGUAAGUUAAGAAGAGAAUAAAAUAGUGAGAAAAGAGAAUGGACCCACUUUGUAACUUUAGGGUUCAACUAGAAAAUUUCCUGGUAUAAAUUUUGGGUA
RNAcentral lists this long non-coding RNA (481 nucleotides) under Helianthus annuus (common sunflower). RNAcentral describes it as "hypothetical non coding rna". Lineage: Eukaryota; Viridiplantae; Streptophyta; Magnoliopsida; Asterales; Asteraceae. The record is from RNAcentral.